Molecule: ribosomal RNA, 134 nt
Filed under: Neogale vison (American mink)
Lineage: Eukaryota; Metazoa; Chordata; Mammalia; Carnivora; Mustelidae
Source: RNAcentral
GUCUACGGCCAUACCACCCUGAACGCGCCCGAUCUCGUCUGAUCUCGGAAGCUAAGCAGGGUCGGGCCUGGUUAGUACUUGGAUGGGAGAUCAAGUACCAGUUCUCUCUUCUUGGACCCUGGAAGCUCUGAGCC